GUUAUUAAAAACAUGGCCUUUUGAUUAUAAUUUAAGGUCUAUCCUGCCCAAUGAUGUAUUUAAAUGGCCGCGGUAAUUUGACCGUGCAAAGGUAGCAUAAUCAUUAGUUUUUUAAUUGGAAGCUUGUAUGAAAGGUUGAAUGUAAAAAUAGCUGUCUCUAUUAAAAUUUAUUAAAAUUUUAUUUUUAAGUUAAAAAGCUUAAAUAUUUAUAGAAGACGAGAAGACCCUAUAGAGUUUUAUAUUUUAGAAAUAUUUUUAUUAUUAAGUAUUUUUUUAUAUUUUUAAAUUAUUUAAUUGGGGUGAUUUUUAAAUUUAGUUAACUUUUUUUAGUAUAAAACAAUAAUUUUUGUUUAAAUGAUCCUUUUUUUAAGAUUAAUAAAUAAAUUACCUUAGGGAUAACAGCGUUAUUUUUUUUUAGAGUUCAAAUUAAAAGAAAAGAUUGCGACCUCGAUGUUGGAUUAAAAAUAAAUUUUGGCGUAGAAGUUAAAAAUUUAGGUCUGUUCGACCUUUGAAAUUUUACAUGAUCURAGUUUAAACCGG
This 540-nucleotide ribosomal RNA is filed under the name Magdalis ruficornis. RNAcentral describes it as "partial 16S ribosomal RNA". It matches the Rfam family "Archaeal large subunit ribosomal RNA", at positions 1897 to 2690 of the family's 2987-position model. The record is from RNAcentral. Lineage: Eukaryota; Metazoa; Arthropoda; Insecta; Coleoptera; Curculionidae.